UUCGACCGUUCUUGUGACUGAAACCGACACCCAUUUUAUUGCCUUUGAAAUUUGAAUAUCGCUGGUGUUGAGUCACCAUUUCGUUAACCUUAUAACCAACAAAUUAUUAUUGAGAUUCAAUAUUUCAAUCAUGGGUCAUAAUUCCAAAAUCUCUAUAUCACGCUAACGAACCUCUACAGUCACUCGUCUCUCUAUGUCACACUCUUUUUACACGACGAUCAAAAAGUCGCACCACCAUUGUUCCCACAUUGUUUCUAAUCGCGUUGUAUUUGUGGAUUGAGGUAACAAAUCGAGGGGACUAUCUAUUGUUUGUAUACGAAAUAGUCAAUUAUUUAAAAGAAGUUCAGUUAGUUUAGGAAGUCUGAAAUCAUAUUGAACGGUUUGGUUUACGGUUUACACUUGAAAAUGGUCGGAAAACUGGACCGGACCGUGCGACUUCCGGUCAAUAUUUAAUUAGCUUUUAUAUAGGUUGUAUGAUUUUCUUUAGCUUUUAUAUAAGCUGUAUAAAUUUUUAGUUUUUAUUUGGGCCUGGAUGUAUCAAGUGGGCUCUACAAACUAUGUGGGCUUUGCAUUCUUCAAUA
Helianthus annuus (common sunflower) is the source of this 581-nucleotide long non-coding RNA. RefSeq lists it as uncharacterized. The transcript has 2 exons. Lineage: Eukaryota; Viridiplantae; Streptophyta; Magnoliopsida; Asterales; Asteraceae. The record is from RefSeq and is a predicted model, not a curated record.